Molecule: transfer RNA, 69 nt
Filed under: Ictidomys tridecemlineatus (thirteen-lined ground squirrel)
Lineage: Eukaryota; Metazoa; Chordata; Mammalia; Rodentia; Sciuridae
Description: Spermophilus tridecemlineatus (thirteen-lined ground squirrel) tRNA
Rfam family: tRNA
About the family: Transfer RNA (tRNA) molecules are approximately 80 nucleotides in length. Their secondary structure includes four short double-helical elements and three loops (D, anti-codon, and T loops).
Source: Rfam by way of RNAcentral
GGGGUUGUGGCUCAACGGUAGAGCGCUUGUCUCGCACACAUGGGACCCUGGGUUCGAUCCUCAAUACCA